AGAGUUUGAUCCUGGCUCAGAGCGAACGCUGGCGGCAGGCCUAACACAUGCAAGUCGAACGGACCCUUCGGGGUUAGUGGCGGACGGGUGAGUAACACGUGGGAACGUGCCUUUAGGUUCGGAAUAGCUCCUGGAAACGGGUGGUAAUGCCGAAUGUGCCCUUCGGGGGAAAGAUUUAUCGCCUUUAGAGCGGCCCGCGUCUGAUUAGCUAGUUGGUGGGGUAAUGGCCCACCAAGGCUACGAUCAGUAGCUGGUCUGAGAGGAUGACCAGCCACACUGGGACUGAGACACGGCCCAAACUCCUACGGGAGGCAGCAGUGGGGAAUCUUGCGCAAUGGGCGAAAGCCUGACGCAGCCAUGCCGCGUGUAUGAUGAAGGUCUUAGGAUUGUAAAAUACUUUCACCGGUGAAGAUAAUGACUGUAGCCGGAGAAGAAGCCCCGGCUAACUUCGUGCCAGCAGCCGCGGUAA
Molecule: ribosomal RNA, 469 nt
Filed under: uncultured bacterium
Lineage: Bacteria
Description: bacterial SSU rRNA
Rfam family: Bacterial small subunit ribosomal RNA
Source: RNAcentral